RNAcentral lists this non-coding RNA (48 nucleotides) under Schistosoma curassoni. The record is from RNAcentral. Lineage: Eukaryota; Metazoa; Platyhelminthes; Trematoda; Strigeidida; Schistosomatidae.
AUUCAGCUGACGAGUCCCAAAUAGGACGAAACACGUGUUAAACUGAAU